Molecule: ribosomal RNA, 594 nt
Filed under: uncultured bacterium
Lineage: Bacteria
Description: bacterial SSU rRNA
Rfam family: Bacterial small subunit ribosomal RNA
Source: RNAcentral
AUGAUGGCGACCGGCGCACGGGUGAGUAACGCGUAUCCAACCUACCCAUUACUAGGGAAUAACCCAGCGAAAGUUGGCCUAAUGCCCUAUGUAGUCGUUUGAUCGCCUGAGAUUUCGACGAAAGAUUUAUCGGUAUUGGAUGGGGAUGCGUCUGAUUAGCUUGUUGGCGGGGUAAAGGCCCACCAAGGCAACGAUCAGUAGGGGUUCUGAGAGGAAGGUCCCCCACAUUGGAACUGAGACACGGUCCAAACUCCUACGGGAGGCAGCAGUGAGGAAUAUUGGUCAAUGGGCGAGAGCCUGAACCAGCCAAGUAGCGUGCAGGAUGACGGCCCUAUGGGUUGUAAACUGCUUUUAUAUGGGAAUAAAGUGAGGGACGUGUCCCUUAUUGCAUGUACCAUACGAAUAAGGACCGGCUAAUUCCGUGCCAGCAGCCGCGGUAAUACGGAAGGUCCAGGCGUUAUCCGGAUUUAUUGGGUUUAAAGGGAGCGUAGGCUGUUUGUUAAGCGUGUUGUGAAAUGUAGGAGCUCAACUUUUAGAUUGCAGCGCGAACUGGCAGACUUGAGUGCGCACAACGUAGGCGGAAUUCAUGGUGUA